GACCACUCCCAGGCUGAUCAUCCCUGGGGCUGGGAGGAAAGUUAUUUGCAGAGGAGAACAAGAUCAGGACUCUUCCUAACAAAGGCUGAGUAAGAAACUGGGUUUCUGACCUCUCUACCCCAGCAAGCUCAGAGUCCCCUGCCUUUCCUCUGUUCUGGCUCUGUGUGUUUGCAUUACUCACUCUGUGGUUAGAAGUUCAGGUAAGUAAUUCUGGAAAAGGAGCUUUUGGAAAAAGUUGCCUGGAAAACAGGACGCUGCUUGGAGUGUCAUUUCUCCUUAUCAAUUGAAUAUGGACUUAGACAACUCAGCUCAGGCCCACAGACAGAAGGGAUUAGCCUUAUCUCAGAUGAGAUUUUGGACUUGGACUUUUGAAUUAAUCCUUCAAUGACCAUAGUUUAAGAAGAGAUAUCUUGAAAACACGGAAAGAGAAAAGUCAAUACAAUAUUUCCUAAUUUUUUAAGAGGUCAGAGAAGGGAGUUACUGUGUGGCCUGGAGCAGGUGAUUCUGACUACCAAGGGAAAAUUGGAGUACUACUCCACAAUGGAGGGUCUGCAGGAUGGACCCGGCAGCUGGUGCCCUGUGUGAGGAACGCUGCAACGGACUGCGACAGAACCCUCGAAAACGAAGGUGAAGAGACUGUGCAGUCAUGUGACAGACACAUCAAACCAUACCAUGGCGUGGCUAAGACCCAAGCUGGUAUCAAAAAUAAAGGAAACGACGCUGCAGGACCCGCAGCCCCAGACGAUGUGGCUUCCUCCGAUGACACAGGCCCCAGACAUUACCUGGGGGAAGCUGAAGAAGACAACUCAGGAGGCCGAGUGAAUCCUUCUCUGGACACAGACACCAUCACUCCAGAUAAUCUGUUCCUUGCUAUGCUCUCUAUUGUACCUUGCAACUCUCAUAGGGUAUUCACCUUUCUUAUUCUCUCACUUUGCCUGCAACUCAUACCUGCUACAUUCUAUUGGGCCCAUCUUCUAAGAUCUGCCUUUCUUCCAACCUGUUACCUUGGCAGACACCCCCUUCCCAUCCUCUAAUAAUGUAACUGCUUAGCUGGGAGGGGUUGACAUGCCCCCAGUGGGGUUCCUUAAUAAUGGCACACAUUGAACUGAGGUGCCAAGUAACACUACAUAUCUCUCCUUGAUUGGAAAAGAAUAAUAGUGACUAUACUAAUGUUUGACUUAUGUUAUUUACUAAUUCUAGGAUGCAAAGCCGGAACACGAGCUGUAACCGCUGCGCCUGUCAAAUCUGUCACUGCACACAUCUGUACUAUUCAAUCAACAAAACCCGAUGCUAAAAACAGAAAAGGGGGAGACGCGGGAGAUCGGUCAGAGUGGUAGGAGAAGGUAUAGGGAAAGGAACAGACCUUCUGAAAGGCGGGAAGGCUCUGGAUAGCUUCAGGGAUGAAUAAGCUGAAGGCAGCUGUUCUCUUACCCUGAGGCAGAGGGCAAGGGGUAGGUAAGGAAGUAUAGGGGAAUUUGGCAUAAACAGGCUUGUUUACUUACAUUGUCCGGAAACCGACUUUGAUCAUCAGGGCAGGAGACUGCUCCCUGAAAGGGGGAAUAAUAAUGUUAAUUACCCACAGAUUGUGUUGGCUCCAGGCUUUCAUUAUUUUGUCUGUACUGAAUAAAAGCAAGCAGCUCCAGCUGUUCGAGACUGCUCACUCUUCAGCCAUUAGUGCUGGGCAUUCCUGUAGCUGCUCUUACACUGCAUGCCUGUGGCUGAGUACUCCUUUCAUCCGUUGCUUGGCCAGGGUCUGUGGGAUGGACCCCGCAGGUAAGGGUUAUCAAAAAAAAAAAAAAUUCACAGGCAGAUAGGAACACCAUGACCAUACUAAAAGGCUUUUUUCCCAUUUUAGUCUUGCAAGUUUGUAAAGAAGGAUAUGAAGCCCCUAAGAAAUCAGUGAAACACUUU
This 1911-nucleotide long non-coding RNA is filed under the name Homo sapiens (human). RNAcentral's name for it is "HSALNT0287110". Lineage: Eukaryota; Metazoa; Chordata; Mammalia; Primates; Hominidae. The record is from RNAcentral.